This 295-nucleotide ribosomal RNA is filed under the name uncultured Anaerolineaceae bacterium. RNAcentral describes it as "partial 16S ribosomal RNA". It matches the Rfam family "Bacterial small subunit ribosomal RNA", at positions 1074 to 1382 of the family's 1533-position model. The record is from RNAcentral. Lineage: Bacteria; Bacillati; Chloroflexota; Anaerolineae; Anaerolineales; Anaerolineaceae.
GUUCGGUUAAGUCCGCUAACGAGACGCAACCCUCACUGUGUGUUACAAGUGUCACACGGGACUGCCGGUUUAAGCCGGAGGAAGGCGAGGAUGACGUCAAGUCAGCAUGGCCUUUAUAUCUUGGGCUACACACACGCUACAAUGGUCUGUACAAUAGGUUGCCAAGCCGCGAGGCGGAGCCAAGUCCUAAAAGCAGGCCUCAGUUCAGAUUGCAGGCUGCAACCCGCCUGCAUGAAGAUGGAGUUGCUAGUAACCGCAGGUCAGCUAUACUGCGGUGAAUACGUUCCCGGGUCUU